AUGGGCUUGUUUAAUGAGCAGGCGAAGUCAUUCAUCUGCAGCCUCACGGUGCUGCAGCAAGGCUACGUCUCCCCCCUCCUGGUUUUCCUUAAAGAGUUUUCCUGGUUUUCCUCCCCUCCUCGUGGCAUGACACAGCCAGCAAAGCAGCUGCGGCCGGCGUGUGUGCAACGCUGUCGUUUAGCAUUGCUUGGGAUAUACCAGCCUCCUUUUCAGCCUGCUCCCUGCCCGAGCUCUGCCCACACCUUCAUGGUUAUUGCUGGGACUGCUGGGGCAGCUGUUGUGCUAAACCGUGGCAGGGAAAUGGCCCUGUUGGUGCUGCCACGGAGGGCGCAGACACACCGUGACCCCCAGCACCUGCUGGGUUUGGAAAGCCAGCCCUGCACCCACAGCACGGGCAUGCCCCCGGCAGCGUGGGCUGCACGGAGCUGGUUUACUCCCCUGACUCGCCCCACGGCUGGAUCCAGGAUCAGGCCUGCAGCUGGCGUGAACCGGCCCAUGGAAAUUCGGUGGAGCCCUGCCAGGCAGCAGCAGCUGAAGCGCUGGCACCAGAAGCUAUUUUUUAUGCAUAAAACUAGCUAUUUUUGCAUGACCUUUGGUUUCACAGCAGCACCAGAAAAGCGUGCAGGCUGCCUUUCCCUUGCGAAAGCGCGAAUGGAAGAUUUUUUAUUUUUUUUUUGCUGGACGCUUGCUUCAAAGACGCAUUCAGGGCAGAUAAGUGAUAGCAUCUGUCAGGGUGCCAUUUUUGCACUGCGCAGCCAGCGUGGGAGCACUCCCUGUCCCCCUGCUCCCUGCCUGCUAAAAACAACUGAAACUAAUUACAUACCAGGAAUACCAGCGUCCCCGCAAAGCCUCUGCCGCACAGCGGCUCUCCCUCGCUCCCUUUUUUCCCUUCCGCCUGAUUCACCAGGGCUUUGGCCGCGCUCCAGGAUUUGGGAGGGUGGGGGAGAGGCAAGGGGGGGGGGCUUGGGAGGGCAGCGGCUUUUUGAGCUCACCGACAGCCUCCCCUCGCUGCGGUCCUGUGCGCUCAUUUCCACUUCACAGAUGCUGCUGAGCUCUGCCAUGGGGAGACAAAUCCCAGAAGUGGAAGGGAGCGUGGCGGGGAGGGAGAGGAUGAAAGCAGUGAAGAGCUGCAUUUAUUAA
Anser brachyrhynchus (Pink-footed goose) is the source of this 1140-nucleotide long non-coding RNA. NCBI's taxonomy places the organism in Eukaryota, Metazoa, Chordata, Aves, Anseriformes, Anatidae. The record is from Ensembl.